Long non-coding RNA from Neopelma chrysocephalum (saffron-crested tyrant-manakin), 1008 nucleotides. RefSeq lists it as uncharacterized. Lineage: Eukaryota; Metazoa; Chordata; Aves; Passeriformes; Pipridae. The record is from RefSeq and is a predicted model, not a curated record. The transcript is spliced from 5 exons.
GGCGGCGGGGGAAGAGGAGGAGGAGGAAGGAGCUGCGCGGAGCGGAGCGGCGGCGGCGGCCCCUUCCCGCGGGUGCCCGGCCCCGCUGUGUCCCCCGUGUCCCCACGUGCAGACUCCCCCACGUUGCUCUCCAGAAGCAUUUCAAACUCGACACACAGAAGCUGUUUCUCCAUGAGCAGCUGUGGGGCAUUUGGCUGGUGGUUUCGACAGCAGGCAGCAGAGAUGAAUCGAGGACGUGGCAUCCGCAGUCAUGACCUGGAAUUUGAACUCUUUGGUGCCUCUCCCUCCUCCCAGAGGGAUGGAGGGGAGGCGGAAGAUCUCAGGAUCUUCUGAUUGCCAUCGAUCCAGCUGAUUUGCUGAGCACUGGCCUCGUAUUGUGUCUGUAUGCUCUUUGAGAGAUGAUUUCAGUCUGAAAAAAAGCCUGCUUUUUUUACCAUCUGUGUGCAGAAUCUCCAGCAGAAAUUCCAAGAUCUGGAGUGAUUUGGUCCCAUGCCAUGAGAACGAUCUGCUCUGCACACCUUAGGCCGUGCAAAAAGGAGAAAGAGAAGAAGGCAAAGCUUUCUGUGAGCUCUCUGUGAGCCUGAUCACUCAUCAAAGGCAGCUGCCUCCUGUGCUGACCUGAGGACGUGACAGAUGUCUGUAGCCUUUACAGGUGCAGGGCCUGCAUUUCAUCAGUCUUUUUUCCUUGGGUGACUUGGAGCAUGGAUUAUUAGCAGCUCGGAUUUCUUUGGCCAUGGUGCUUUGUUGUGUACACAUCCGGGUUAAAUCUAAGCAAUAAUUCUGAUCCAUGUAGGCUUCUGACUUGGUUCUGCGUCUUCAGUGUUUACAAAAUGAUCAACAUUUGAACUCUCCUGUUCUUUUCCUUAAAUGUCAGCAGAAACUUUUUUUUUUUUUAAUAAACAAUGCAGUCUCCCCCUGCAAUGUCUGUAACCAAGAAACUGUGGCAUCACCAGAGCAUGAGGAAAUAUUGCUGAUUAAAACCAGGGAGAUGGAGGAGCACAAGUCUGA